CACACAGACACACACAUACAAACUGGACACACACACUGGACACACACACACUGUACACACACAUUCACACUGGACACACACAUACACUGGAUCCCAGGUUCUAGAACAGCUUCUAUCCCAGUUCUAUCUGCCUGUUAAAUCAGUUUCUGGACCACAGGUUCUAGAACAGCUUCUAUCCCAGUUCUAUCUGCCUGUUAAAUCAGUUUCUGGACCACAGGUUCUAGAACAGCUUCUAUCCCAGUUCUAUCUGCCUGUUAAAUCAGUUUCUGGACCACAGGUUCUAGAACAGCUUCUAUCCCAGUUCUAUCUGCCUGUUAAAUCAGUUUCUGGACCACAGCUUCUAUCCCAGUUCUAUCUGCCUGUUAAAUCAGUUUCUGGACCACAGGUUCUAGAACAGCUUCUAUCCCAGUUCUAUCUGCCUGUUAAAUCAGUUUCUGGACCACAGGUUC
This is a long non-coding RNA of Oncorhynchus tshawytscha (Chinook salmon), 449 nucleotides long. RefSeq lists it as uncharacterized. The transcript has 2 exons. Lineage: Eukaryota; Metazoa; Chordata; Actinopteri; Salmoniformes; Salmonidae. The record is from RefSeq and is a predicted model, not a curated record.